UACGUAGGGACCGAGCGUUGUCCGGAAUCAUUGGGCGUAAAGAGCGUGUAGGCGGCCCCUUAAGUCCUGCGUGAAAUCCUGCGGCUCAACCGCAGACGGUCGUGGGAAACUGGAAGGCUAGAGUGCGGGAGAGGAGAGUGGAAUUCCCGGUGUAGCGGUGAAAUGCGCAGAUAUCGGGAAGAACACCCGUGGCGAAGGCGGCUCUCUGGAACGCAACUGACGCUGAGACGCGAAAGCGUGGGGAGCAAACAGG
This 253-nucleotide ribosomal RNA is filed under the name uncultured bacterium. RNAcentral describes it as "partial 16S ribosomal RNA". It matches the Rfam family "Bacterial small subunit ribosomal RNA", at positions 524 to 776 of the family's 1533-position model. The record is from RNAcentral.